This 439-nucleotide ribosomal RNA is filed under the name uncultured bacterium. RNAcentral describes it as "partial 16S ribosomal RNA". It matches the Rfam family "Bacterial small subunit ribosomal RNA", at positions 339 to 795 of the family's 1533-position model. The record is from RNAcentral.
CUACGGGCGGCUCCAGUGGGGAAUAUUGCACAAUGGAGGAAACUCUGAUGCUGCAACGCCGCGUGGAGGAUGACACUUUUCGGAGCGUAAACUCCUUUUAUAUAGGAAGAAGAUGACGGUAUUAUAUGAAUAAGCGCCGGCUAACUCCGUGCCAGCAGCCGCGGUAAUACGGAGGGCGCAAGCGUUACUCGGAAUCACUGGGCGUAAAGAGCGUGUAGGCGGAUUAAAAAGUCAGAAGUGAAAUCCUAUAGCUUAACUAUAGAACUGCUUCUGAAACUCUUAAUCUAGAAUAUGGGAGAGGUAGAUGGAAUUUCUGGUGUAGGGGUAAAAUCCGUAGAGAUCAGAAGGAAUACCGAUUGCGAAGGCGAUCUACUAGAACAUUAUUGACGCUGAGACGCGAAAGCGUGGGGAGCAAACAGGAUUAGAUACCCCCGUAGUC